Molecule: small RNA, 75 nt
Filed under: Xanthomonas phaseoli pv. manihotis
Lineage: Bacteria; Pseudomonadati; Pseudomonadota; Gammaproteobacteria; Lysobacterales; Lysobacteraceae
Also listed under: 2 other names
Description: sX9 sRNA
Rfam family: Xanthomonas sRNA sX9
Source: RNAcentral
AGGUGCCACGCGUACAGGGCGGCUCCGAGCGCGCCGUCCACUCCCGCCUGGCGGUGCGCGCGCCAUAUGUGAGCC